CCUACGGGAGGCAGCAGUGGGGAAUAUUGCGCAAUGGGCGAAAGACUGACGCAGCGACGCCGCGUGAGGGAUGAAGGUCUUCGGAUCGUAAACCUCUGUCAGCAGGGAAGAACGGUCACUGUGCUAAUCAGCCGUGAAUUGACGGUACCUGCAAAGGAAGCACCGGCUAACUCCGUGACAGCAGCCGCGGUAAUACGGAGGGUGCGAGCGUUAAUCGGAAUUACUGGGCGUAAAGCGCUCGUAGGCGGUAUUUCAAGUCAAGGGUGAAAUCCCCGCGCUCAACUUUGGAACGGCCUUUGAAACUGGCAAACUGGAGUGUGUUAGAGGAUAGUGGAAUUCCAGGUGUAGGAGUGAAAUCCGUAGAUAUCUGGAGGAACAUCAGUUGCGAAGGCGACUAUCUGGCACAUAACUGACGCUGAGGAGCGAAAGCGUGGGUAGCAAACAGGAGUAGAUACCCUAGUAGUC
This 465-nucleotide ribosomal RNA is filed under the name uncultured bacterium. RNAcentral's name for it is "partial 16S ribosomal RNA". It matches the Rfam family "Bacterial small subunit ribosomal RNA", at positions 338 to 795 of the family's 1533-position model. The record is from RNAcentral.